CCUACGGGUGGCAGCAGUGGGGAAUAUUGCGCAAUGGGCGAAAGCCUGACGCAGCGACGCCGCGUGAGGGACGAAGGUCCUCGGAUUGUAAACCUCUGUCAGCAGGGAAGAACGGUCACUGUGCUAAUCAGCAGUGAAUUGACGGUACCUGCAAAGGAAGCACCGGCUAACUCCGUGCCAGCAGCCGCGGUCAUACGGAGGGUGCGAGCGUUAAUCGGAAUUUCUGGGCGUAAAGCGCUCGUAGGCGGUAUGUCAAGUCAAGGGUGAAAUCCCCGCGCUCAACGUGGGAACUGCCGUUGAAACUGGCAAACUGGAGAGUGUGAGAGGAUAGUGGAAUGCCAGGUGUAGGAGUGAAAUCCGUAGAUAUCUGGAGGAACAUCAGUGGCGAAGGCGACUAUCUGGCACAUAACUGACGCUGAGGAGCGAAAGCGUGGGUAGCAAACAGGAUUAGAUACCCUUGUAGUC
RNAcentral lists this ribosomal RNA (465 nucleotides) under uncultured bacterium. RNAcentral's name for it is "partial 16S ribosomal RNA". It matches the Rfam family "Bacterial small subunit ribosomal RNA", at positions 338 to 795 of the family's 1533-position model. The record is from RNAcentral.